RNAcentral lists this ribosomal RNA (497 nucleotides) under uncultured bacterium. Its description in RNAcentral is "partial 16S ribosomal RNA". It matches the Rfam family "Bacterial small subunit ribosomal RNA", at positions 28 to 507 of the family's 1533-position model. The record is from RNAcentral.
GACGAACGCUGGCGGCGUGCCUAAUACAUGCAAGUUGAGCGCUGAAGGUUGGUACUUGUACCAACUGGAUGAGCAGCGAACGGGUGAGUAACGCGUGGGGAAUCUGCCUUUGAGCGGGGGACAACAUUUGGAAACGAAUGCUAAUACCGCAUAAAAACUUUAAACACAAGUUUUAAGUUUGAAAGAUGCAAUUGCUUCACUCAAAGAUGAUCCCGCGUUGUAUUAGCUAGUUGGUGAGGUAAAGGCUCACCAAGGCGAUGAUACAUAGCCGACCUGAGAGGGUGAUCGGCCACAUUGGGACUGAGACGCGGCCCAAACUCCUACGGGAGGCAGCAGUAGGGAAUCUUCGGCAAUGGACGAAAGUCUGACCGAGCAACGCCGCGUGAGUGAAGAAGGGUUUCGGAUCGUAAAACUCUGUUGGUAGAGAAGAACGUUGGUGAGAGUGGAAAGCUCAUCAAGUGACGGUAACUACCCAGAAAGGGACGGCUAACUACGUG